RNAcentral lists this microRNA precursor (224 nucleotides) under Arabidopsis halleri subsp. gemmifera. Its description in RNAcentral is "pre miRNA MIR854". It matches the Rfam family "MIR854 microRNA precursor family". The record is from RNAcentral. Lineage: Eukaryota; Viridiplantae; Streptophyta; Magnoliopsida; Brassicales; Brassicaceae.
UGGAAGACGAUAGAGAGGAGGAAGAGUAUGAUACACAUAUGUAUCACUUUGGAGAGCAUGUGGCACCUUCAAGACAGAGUAAGAGCUUAACUGAAGCUAACAAACAUGCAAGCCUACUUCAGAAAUGAAACAAGAAGCAGGACAAGCUUCUCUCCAAGUGGUGGAAGAUGAUCAAAUCUCUGAAGGAAAUGAUAAGCUGCUCCUCUUCCAACACAGCUGCGCCA